AUACGUAGGUGGCGAGCGUUGUCCGGAAUUACUGGGCGUAAAGAGCUCGUAGGUGGUUUGUCGCGUCGUCUGUGAAAUUCCGGGGCUUAACUCCGGGCGUGCAGGCGAUACGGGCAUAACUUGAGUACUGUAGGGGAGACUGGAAUUCCUGGUGUAGCGGUGAAAUGCGCAGAUAUCAGGAGGAACACCGGUGGCGAAGGCGGGUCUCUGGGCAGUAACUGACGCUGAGGAGCGAAAGCAUGGGUAGCGAACAGGAUUAGAUACCCUGGUAGUCCAUGCCGUAAACGGUGGGCGCUAGGUGUAGGGGUCUUCCACGACUUCUGUGCCGUAGCUAACGCAUUAAGCGCCCCGCCUGGGGAGUACGGCCGCAAGGCUAAAACUCAAAGGAAUUGACGGGG
This 398-nucleotide ribosomal RNA is filed under the name uncultured bacterium. Its description in RNAcentral is "partial 16S ribosomal RNA". It matches the Rfam family "Bacterial small subunit ribosomal RNA", at positions 523 to 918 of the family's 1533-position model. The record is from RNAcentral.